This 478-nucleotide ribosomal RNA is filed under the name uncultured bacterium. RNAcentral's name for it is "bacterial SSU rRNA". It matches the Rfam family "Bacterial small subunit ribosomal RNA", at positions 32 to 518 of the family's 1533-position model. The record is from RNAcentral.
AAUCAACGCUGGCGGCGUGCCUCAGACAUGCAAGUCGAACGAUUAAGACUUCCUUCGGGAAGUGUAUAAAGUGGCGCACGGGUGAGUAACACGUAAGUAAUCUACCCUCGAGUGGGGAAUAACAUCGGGAAACCGAUGCUAAUACCGCAUAACGCAGCGGCACCGCAAGGUGACAGUUGUUAAAGGAGCAAUCCGCUUGAGGAGGAGCUUGCGGCAGAUUAGCUAGUUGGUGAGGUAAUGGCUCACCAAGGCGACGAUCUGUAUCCGGCCUGAGAGGGCGGUCGGACACACUGACACUGAAUAACGGGUCAGACUCCUACGGGAGGCAGCAGUCGGGAAUUUUGGGCAAUGGGCGAAAGCCUGACCCAGCAACGCCGCGUGAGGGAUGAAGUAUUUCGGUAUGUAAACCUCGAAAGAAUGGGAAGAAUAAAUGACGGUACCAUUUAUAAGCUCCGGCUAACUACGUGCCAGCAGCCGC